This 498-nucleotide ribosomal RNA is filed under the name uncultured bacterium. Its description in RNAcentral is "partial 16S ribosomal RNA". It matches the Rfam family "Bacterial small subunit ribosomal RNA", at positions 27 to 507 of the family's 1533-position model. The record is from RNAcentral.
GGAUGAACGCUGGCGGCGUGCCUAAUACAUGCAAGUCUAGCGAACGGACGAGAAGCUUGCUUCUCUGAUGUUAGCGGCGGACGGGUGAGUAACACGUGGAUAACCUACCUAUAAGACUGGGAUAACUUCGGGAAACCGGAGCUAAUACCGGAUGAUAUUUUGAACCGCAUGGUUCAAAAGUGAAAGACGGUCUUGCUGUCACUUAUAGAUGGAUCCGCGCUGCAUUAGCUAGUUGGUAAGGUAACGGCUUACCAAGGCAACGAUGCAUAGCCGACCUAAGAGGGUGAUCGGCCACACUGGAACUGAGACACGGUCCAGACUCCUACGGGAGGCAGCAGUAGGGAAUCUUCCGCAAUGGGCGAAAGCCUGACGGAGCAACGCCGCGUGAGUGAUGAAGGUCUUCGGAUCGUAAAACUCUGUUAUUAGGGAAGAACAUAUGUGUAAGUAACUGUGCACAUCUUGACGGUACCUAAUCAGAAAGCCACGGCUAACUACGUG